GACGUAGGGCGCGAGCGUUGUCCGGAUUUAUUGGGCGUAAAGAGCUCGUAGGCGGCUCGUUGCGUCCAUCGUGAAAACUCAGGGCUUAACUCUGAGCUUGCGGUGGAUACGGGCGGGCUAGAGUUCGGUAGGGGAGUCUGGAAUUCCUGGUGUAGCGGUGAAAUGCGCAGAUAUCAGGAGGAACACCGAUGGCGAAGGCAGGACUCUGGGCCGAUACUGACGCUGAGGAGCGAAAGCGUGGGGAGCGAACAGG
Molecule: ribosomal RNA, 253 nt
Filed under: uncultured bacterium
Lineage: Bacteria
Description: partial 16S ribosomal RNA
Rfam family: Bacterial small subunit ribosomal RNA
Source: RNAcentral